UACGGAGGGUGCAAGCGUUGUCCGGAUUUAUUGGGUUUAAAGGGUGCGUAGGCGGUCUGGUAAGUCGGAUGUGAAAUCCCUGGGCUCAACCUGGGAAUGGCACCCGAAACUAUAAAUCUUGAAUACCUAAGAGGUUGGCGGAAUUCCUGGUGUAGGAGUGAAAUCCGUAGAUAUCAGGAGGAAUAUCGGAGGCGAAGGCGGUUCUCUGGGCAUGUCCUGACGCUGAGGAGCGAAAGUGUGGGGAGCGAACAGG
This 253-nucleotide ribosomal RNA is filed under the name uncultured bacterium. RNAcentral's name for it is "partial 16S ribosomal RNA". It matches the Rfam family "Bacterial small subunit ribosomal RNA", at positions 524 to 776 of the family's 1533-position model. The record is from RNAcentral.